CCUACGGGUGGCAGCAGUGAGGAAUAUUGGGCAAUGGAGGCAACUCUGACCCAGCCAUGCCGCGUGAGUGAAGAAGGUUUUCGGAUGGUAAAGCUCUUUCGGAGGGGACGAGGAUGACGGUAGCAUCUAAAGAAGCCCCGGCUAACGUCGGGCCAGCAGCCGCGGUAAUACGAAGGGGGCAAGCGUGGUUCGGAAUUACUGGGCGUAAAGGGAGUGUAGGCGGUUUAGUAAGAUAGUGGUGAAAUCCCAGGGCUUAACUUUGGAAUUGCCAUUCUAACUAUUAGACUAGAAUUACAGAGAGGUUAGUGGAAUCCCCCGUGUAGUGGUUAACUUCGUCGAUCUUGGGUAGAACACCAGUGGCGACGGCGACUAUCUGGCUGUACAUUGCCGCUGCGGCUCGAAAGCCUGGGGAUCACACAGGAUUAGCUACCCCGGUAGUC
Molecule: ribosomal RNA, 440 nt
Filed under: uncultured bacterium
Lineage: Bacteria
Description: partial 16S ribosomal RNA
Rfam family: Bacterial small subunit ribosomal RNA
Source: RNAcentral